Molecule: ribosomal RNA, 301 nt
Filed under: uncultured bacterium
Lineage: Bacteria
Description: partial 16S ribosomal RNA
Rfam family: Bacterial small subunit ribosomal RNA
Source: RNAcentral
CAGUCGCCACGGGAAUACGUAGGUGGCAAGCGUUGCCCGGAAUUAUUGGGCGUAAAGGGCUCGCAGGCGGUUUCUUAAGUCUGAUGUGAAAGCCCCCGGCUCAACCGGGGAGGGUCAUUGGGAACUGGGAAACUUGAGUGCAGAAGAGGAGAGUGGAAUUCCACGUGUAGCGGUGAAAUGCGUAGAGAUGUGGAGGAACACCAGUGGCGAAGGCGACUCUCUGGUCUGUAACUGACGCUGAGGAGCGAAAGCGUGGGGAGCGAACAGGAUUAGAUACCCCCGUAGUCCCUGUCUCUUAUAC